UCAAUUCUGAAGGCAGAUCUAUUGGCUAGCAUUGCUGGCUAUAGACUGAACAAAUACAGACAACUCUCAACAACGGAUAUCUUGGCUCCCGUAACGAUGAAGAACGCAGCGAAAUGCGAUACGUAGUGUGAAUUGCAGAAUUCCGUGAACCAUCGAAUCUUUGAACGCAAAUUGCGCUCGAGGCUUCGGCCAAGAGCAUGUCUGCCUCAGCGUCGGCUACUACCCUCAACUAAGUUUCCUACGAAAGACUAGGGGAUGCCAGUUGGAUAUGGCCGUCCGGUUUGCCUUUCAGGCUGCCGGUCAGCUGAAAUACAUUCACGCUCUGGGGGC
This 330-nucleotide ribosomal RNA is filed under the name uncultured Trebouxia photobiont. RNAcentral describes it as "5.8S ribosomal RNA". The stretch from base 62 to 215 matches the Rfam family "5.8S ribosomal RNA". The record is from RNAcentral. Lineage: Eukaryota; Viridiplantae; Chlorophyta; Trebouxiophyceae; Trebouxiales; Trebouxiaceae.